RNAcentral lists this ribosomal RNA (253 nucleotides) under uncultured bacterium. Its description in RNAcentral is "partial 16S ribosomal RNA". It matches the Rfam family "Bacterial small subunit ribosomal RNA", at positions 524 to 776 of the family's 1533-position model. The record is from RNAcentral.
UACGUAGGUGGCAAGCGUUGUCCGGAUUUACUGGGCGUAAAGAGCGCGCAGGCGGCUGGGCAAGUCCGAUGUGAAAGCUUCCGGCUUAACUGGAAAAUUGCAUCGGAAGCUGCUCGGCUUGAAGGUGGGAGAGGGUAGCGGAAUUCCCGGUGUAGUGGUGAAAUGCGUAGAGAUCGGCAGGAACACCCAGGGGGAAACCAGUCGACUGGGCAUCUACUGACGCUGAGGUGCGAGAGCGUGGGGAGCGAACCGG